UACAGUACUGUCCACCGUUCACCAGCACUUUGGAGAACGGUGAUGAAAUCCAUAUCAGCCCACCACCAGCAAGUCAACUGCACUACCCUCAAUACUCUGACCUCUCUGUUCUCCACCAAAAAAAUGUGGUGUGACAAAAGCUGCUUUAAAGUUCUCCUUCACCCCGCCGCCGCCGCCGCCGCUGCCUGCUUCUCCUCCAUCUUCAGCUUCAGCGAUCGUUUCCUGGGGCGCCACGGCCGUCCCCCGUUGGUCACCCUCCUUGCGGUGAGACUUUCGUUCACCGCCCAUCGGCUGCUUCUUCGAUGUCCACUGCAUAAUCGACUUUCUUGCGUAAGCGCUUGGAUCUCCUGUUGUGCCGAUGUAUUUCUCUCCGUGAGAGGGAGAUAACUCCGCCGUCGCUGGUUGCACUGCCCUCGACGACGACUUCUUUAUAUCUUCAGGUUUGAAGAUUUGGAGGACCAACUAUUCUGCGAGCACAAAUGGAUUGGUCGAAUUGCUCUUCUACUUGAGGGUGCCGAAAUCUCAUGGCCAGUUCGCUCUUCCACGUCGGAGAAAUCGGCUGUAGGGACUUGAUCUCAUACGUGAUCUCCCAUCAGAUACACCGUCGCCGAAUUGAUUGAUAGUGACAACGCUGGAGGUUCCCGGCCACGUCACGCUCGGAUGCCUUCUCAUUUUCCACGACCACCUCCGGAGCGAUGACGCCGGCAACUACGAACGAGCCAGAAACAGGGUGCGUCGAGUUCCUGAACCAGUUUGCAGAGCACGGCAAUAGAUGACUCGUGCGCGAGCUGAGCCAGCUCCGGUGAGCACAUCUCUAUGCCACUGCCGUACACGAAGACUACUACCACGCAAUGGCUGCCAUCUACUUGAACCCGCAGUGCUACGGGAAGGUGUGCUCCAGUGAGCACAUCUCAGCGCCUGCUUGAUUGAUUAAUUCCACCGAGCUGAUGCUGUUUUUGCUGGUUGGUUCAAUGGUUCAUCAUUAGGAUUUUGGAUCAAUCCACCUGUGUCGUGAUUCGUCAGCAGAGUACAGCACAACUACAACGCGUCGGCGACGAGGCGGCGGCGGCGGCGGUGAAGGUGUGCAGCUAUCCGGCGAAGUAUAUGAGCACGGAUGGGAUUCACUUCACCGAGGCUGGUUAUCGGGCCGUGACCCAUUUAUUGGGCCGAUGGGCAGAGCCUUUGCAAAUAUUGUAAAAUAUAUAUAUGUAAAAUAAAUUUUAUAAAUAGUUCAUUUAUACACGUGAGAAAUUAGCUUGAUUA
Long non-coding RNA from Zingiber officinale, 1263 nucleotides. RefSeq lists it as uncharacterized. The transcript is spliced from 5 exons. The record is from RefSeq and is a predicted model, not a curated record. Lineage: Eukaryota; Viridiplantae; Streptophyta; Magnoliopsida; Zingiberales; Zingiberaceae.